CAGCCGCCGCGGUAAUACGUAGGGGGCGAGCGUUACCCGGAUUCACUGGGCGUAAAGCGGGUGUAGGCGGCUCGGUAAGUCGGGUGUGAAAUCCCACAGCUCAACUGUGGAAUUGCGCCCGAAACUGCUGAGCUUGGGGCCGGUAGAGGGAGACGGAACUGCCGGUGUAGGGGUGAAAUCCGUAGAUAUCGGCAGGAACGCCGGUGGGGAAGCCGGUCUCCUGGGCCGCGCCCGACGCUGAGACCCGAAAGCUAGGGGAGCAAACCGGAUUAGAUACCCGGGUAGUCCUAGCCGUAAACGAUGCCCACUAGGUGUGGGGGAUUAAUUCCUCCGUGCUGUAGCUAACGCGUUAAGUGGGCCGCCUGGGGAGUACGCCCGCAAGGUUGAAACUUAAAGGAAUUGGCGGG
Molecule: ribosomal RNA, 407 nt
Filed under: uncultured microorganism
Description: bacterial SSU rRNA
Rfam family: Bacterial small subunit ribosomal RNA
Source: RNAcentral